This 494-nucleotide ribosomal RNA is filed under the name uncultured bacterium. RNAcentral's name for it is "partial 16S ribosomal RNA". It matches the Rfam family "Bacterial small subunit ribosomal RNA", at positions 28 to 507 of the family's 1533-position model. The record is from RNAcentral.
GACGAACGCUGGCGGCGUGCUUAACACAUGCAAGUCGAACGGUGAAGCGCCUUCCUUUUUGGUGGGUGUGGAUGAGUGGCGAACGGGUGAGUAACACGUGAGUAACCUGCCCCCUUCUUCUGGAUAACCGCAUGAAAGUGUGGCUAAUACGGGAUAUUCUGGGUCUGUCGCAUGAUGGGUCUGGGAAAGAUAUUGUUUCGGUGGGGGAUGGGCUCGCGGCCUAUCUGCUUGUUGGUGGGGUGAUGGCCUACCAAGGCGGUGACGGGUAGCCGGCCUGAGAGGGUGGACGGUCACACUGGGACUGAGACACGGCCCAGACUCCUACGGGAGGCAGCAGUGGGGAAUAUUGCACAAUGGGCGCAAGCCUGAUGCAGCGACGCCGCGUGAGGGAUGGAGGCCUUCGGGUUGUGAACCUCUUUCGCCAGUGAAGCAGGCCUGCCUCGUUUGUGGGUGGGUUGACGGUAGCUGGAUAAGAAGCGCCGGCUAACUACGUG